CCAAUAGCGUAUAUUAAAGUUGUUGCAGUUAAAAAGCUCGUAGUUGAAUUUCGGGACCAAUAUGUCGGUCGUGCUUCGGUACGUACUUGCAUUAUUGGUUUCUCCCUUCUGCAGAACCAUGAUGUCAUUAAUUUGGUGUCUUGGGGAAUCAGGACUGUUACUUUGAAAAAAUUAGAGUGUUUAAAGCAGGCCCACGCUUGAAUACAUUAGCAUGGAAUAAUGCAAUAGGCCGUUUGAUUCUAUUUUGUUGGUUUCUAGGAUCGACGUAAUGAUUAAUAGGGAUAGUUGGGGGCAUUAGUAUUCAAUUGUCAGAGGUGAAAUUCUUGGAUUUAUUGAAGACUAACUACUGCGAAAGCAUUUGCCAAGGAUGUUUUCAUUAAUCAAGAACGAAAGUUAGGGGAUCGAAGACGAUCAGAUACCGUCGUAGUCUUAACCAUAAACUAUGCCGACUAGGGAUCGGAUGAUGUUAUUUUUGAUGACUCAUUCGGCGCCUUACG
Molecule: ribosomal RNA, 497 nt
Filed under: uncultured Glomeromycotina
Lineage: Eukaryota; Fungi; Glomeromycota
Description: partial small subunit ribosomal RNA
Rfam family: Eukaryotic small subunit ribosomal RNA
Source: RNAcentral